This 73-nucleotide transfer RNA is filed under the name Kouleothrix aurantiaca. It matches the Rfam family "tRNA". From Rfam's summary of the family: Transfer RNA (tRNA) molecules are approximately 80 nucleotides in length. Lineage: Bacteria; Bacillati; Chloroflexota; Chloroflexia; Chloroflexales; Roseiflexaceae. The record is from Rfam by way of RNAcentral.
GCCGCUCAAGCACAAGCGGACGUGCAUCUGUCUUGUAAACAGAGGGUUGCCGGUUCGAGGCCGGCGAGCGGCU